RNAcentral lists this ribosomal RNA (450 nucleotides) under uncultured bacterium. RNAcentral describes it as "bacterial SSU rRNA". It matches the Rfam family "Bacterial small subunit ribosomal RNA", at positions 354 to 796 of the family's 1533-position model. The record is from RNAcentral.
GUGGGGAAUAUUGGACAAUGGGCGAAAGCCUGAUCCAGCCAUGCCGCGUGUGUGAAGAAGGUCUUCGGAUUGUAAAGCACUUUUAGUUGGGAGGAAGGGCAGUAAGUUAAUACCUUGCUGUUUUGACGUUACCGACAGAAUAAGCACCGGCUAACUUCGUGCCAGCAGCCGCGGUAAUACGAAGGGUGCAAGCGUUAAUCGGAAUUACUGGGCGUAAAGCGCGCGUAGGUGGUUUUGUAAGUUGGAGGUGAAAUCCCCGGGCUCAACCUGGGAACUGCCUCCAAAACUGCAUGACUAGAGUACGGUAGAGGGUAGUGGAAUUUCCUGUGUAGCGGUGAAAUGCGUAGAUAUAGGAAGGAACACCAGUGGCGAAGGCGACUACCUGGACUGAUACUGACACUGAGGUGCGAAAGCGUGGGAAGCAAACAGGAUUAGAAACCCGAGUAGUCC